This 437-nucleotide unclassified non-coding RNA is filed under the name uncultured Thelephoraceae. RNAcentral's name for it is "sequence contains ITS2". The stretch from base 1 to 156 matches the Rfam family "5.8S ribosomal RNA". Lineage: Eukaryota; Fungi; Basidiomycota; Agaricomycetes; Thelephorales; Thelephoraceae. The record is from RNAcentral.
AACUUGUGACAACGGAUCACUUGGCUCUCGCAUCGAUGAAGAACGCAGCGAAUUGCGAUAAGUAAUGUGAAUUGCAGAUUUUCAGUGAAUCAUCGAAUCUUUGAACGCACCUUGCGCCCUUUGGUUAUUCCGAAGGGCAUGCCUGUUUGAGUAUCGUGAACACCUCAACUCUCACGGUCUGCCGUGAUGAGCUUGGAUUUUGGGGGUCUUGCUGGCCUAUGGUCGGCUCCUCUCAAAUGAAUCAGCUUGCCAGUGUUUGGUGGCAUCACAGGUGUGAUAACUAUCUAUGCUUGUGGUUUUCCACCAGGUAACCUCCAGCAAUGGAGGUUCGCUGGAGCUCAUAAAUGUCCCUCCUCAGCGAGGACAGCUUUUGAACGUUUGAUCUCAAAUCAGGUAGGACUACCCGCUGAACUUAAGCAUAUCAAUAAGCGGAGGCU